Molecule: ribosomal RNA, 207 nt
Filed under: uncultured bacterium
Lineage: Bacteria
Description: partial 16S ribosomal RNA
Rfam family: Bacterial small subunit ribosomal RNA
Source: RNAcentral
CGUGUAGGCGGUGUGGUAAGUCGGAUGUGAAAUCUCCAGGCUCAACCUGGAAACUGCAUUCGAAACUGCCAUGCUUGAGUACCGGAGAGGGAAACGGAAUUCCUGGUGUAGGGGUGAAAUCUGUAGAUAUCAGGAAGAACACCGGUGGCGAAGGCGGUUUCCUGGCCGGAUACUGACGCUGAGGCGCGAAAGCUAGGGGAGCAAACA